ACAAGCAUCAGAAUAGGAAUUGUUGAAAUGCAAAUUUCUGGGCUAUACCCCAUAGUCUGACUUAGUAAGUCUGGCCUGGGGCUUAGGAAUUUGCAUUUCUAACAAGUUCCCAAUUGAUGAAGAU
Molecule: microRNA precursor, 124 nt
Filed under: Marmota monax (woodchuck)
Lineage: Eukaryota; Metazoa; Chordata; Mammalia; Rodentia; Sciuridae
Source: RNAcentral